AAAGCAGGCCUUCUUAUCGCUUUUAUUUUUAAAAGAGGAAAGUCCGGACACCAAAGAGCAUUAUAGCGGGUAACGCCCGUCACUAUUUUUAAUAGAGGACAAGUGCAACAGAAAGAAUGUACAGUUCGGCUGUAGUGAAAUCAUGUAAACUCUAUAAGGUGAAACGUCACGUAUACCAACGUUUGAGAGCUGCUCGUUCGAUGUUGGAGGGUGGGCGGUUUGAGCAAAAUAGUAAUAUUUUGUCUAGAUAAAUGAUAAGACACGACAGAAUCCGGCUUAUGGCCUGCUUUUUUA
RNAcentral lists this RNase P RNA (294 nucleotides) under Flavobacteriaceae bacterium. RNAcentral's name for it is "RNase P RNA component class A". It matches the Rfam family "Bacterial RNase P class A". Rfam says of the family: Ribonuclease P (RNase P) is a ubiquitous endoribonuclease, found in archaea, bacteria and eukarya as well as chloroplasts and mitochondria. The record is from RNAcentral. Lineage: Bacteria; Pseudomonadati; Bacteroidota; Flavobacteriia; Flavobacteriales; Flavobacteriaceae.